RNAcentral lists this ribosomal RNA (497 nucleotides) under uncultured bacterium. RNAcentral describes it as "partial 16S ribosomal RNA". It matches the Rfam family "Bacterial small subunit ribosomal RNA", at positions 28 to 507 of the family's 1533-position model. The record is from RNAcentral.
GAUGAACGCUGGCGGCGUGCCUAAUACAUGCAAGUAGAACGCUGAAGCUUGGUGCUUGCACCGAGCGGAUGAGUUGCGAACGGGUGAGUAACGCGUAGGUAACCUGCCUGGUAGCGGGGGAUAACUAUUGGAAACGAUAGCUAAUACCGCAUAACAGUAGAUAUUGCAUGAUAUCUGCUUGAAAGGUGCAAAUGCAUCACUACCAGAUGGACCUGCGUUGUAUUAGCUAGUUGGUGAGGUAACGGCUCACCAAGGCGACGAUACAUAGCCGACCUGAGAGGGUGAUCGGCCACACUGGGACUGAGACACGGCCCAGACUCCUACGGGAGGCAGCAGUAGGGAAUCUUCGGCAAUGGGGGGAACCCUGACCGAGCAACGCCGCGUGAGUGAAGAAGGUUUUCGGAUCGUAAAGCUCUGUUGUAAGAGAAGAACGAGUGUGAGAGUGGAAAGUUCACACUGUGACGGUAUCUUAUCAGAAAGGGACGGCUAACUACGUG